Molecule: long non-coding RNA, 205 nt
Organism: Phyllostomus discolor (pale spear-nosed bat)
Lineage: Eukaryota; Metazoa; Chordata; Mammalia; Chiroptera; Phyllostomidae
Exons: 3
Source: RefSeq, a predicted model, not a curated record
AAAUACAUUAAAAAGAAACAAGUAGGUGUUAAUUUACUUACCCUUUGCAAGCUGCUGGAGGAACAUAAAACAUACUCACAUUGCUUAAGGAUUUGCUGAUGUUCUUCACAUCCAACUGCAGCAUAUUUCCAAUAAUUGGCAGAGGUGUGGGGCCCGGUGGAAGUUUUCCUUUUCCAGAACUCUGUUUCCACAGUGAAAGGAGAAG